CUCCCUUUUUACGGGUCUGUAAAGCACAGACGCGUCUCACAGUGUGUUUGAUUCGUGCACCAUAAAGAACCGCUACAACGGAGUUUGGCUACUUCUAACAUUUGUCACACGUAGCACCGCCCCGUUUCGGUGUCCGGGUCGAAAAUCCUUGAACUAACGAGUUUCAGAGCCGCGCGCGCCAUAGAUGAUUGACAGAUCGGGCGUCCAAUACACUCAGCGCAAGGGGUGGGUGAACUUCAAAUUCCGCAGUCAGAGCGCGUUCCCGUUGACAGGGUUGAGAAGUGUGUGCGCGGUCACGCGAUCAGGGCGCGGUCCGUCCAGUUCUGAAGAAGUUUGUGUUUCUAAGUAAAGACCGGACACAAAAAGUCACUUCACCGAGUCGAACAGGCUCGUGGUGGUUGAAUGGAACGGUUCCGGGUUCUUAUGGUUCAGCGAUCGUUCCCCUGCUGUGGAACGUUUUACUAACGGAUGUCGAACGUUAUUGGCAGGAGAAGCGGUUCUCUAAACGUUCUACAAACUACCAUCCGGGAACCUUUGAAUGAAAACCAAAACUGAUGUUUCUUCGCUUUUUUUCAUUUCAUUUUUCAUACUUUUAUUGCUCUUAAUAAAUGGUUUAUAUUUCUAUCAUAUGUCAGCACUGCCCAGCUGUGCGAACAAUAAUCUCUAAUAAUUUUAAAUAAUACCAUGAAUGGAUCAUUAAACUGGGACUGGAGAAGCAGCAGGAAAUGAGUGGAUGAAUAAAUGGAUGGAAAACAAUGUAUUUCAGGUCCAGGUAUGAGUUUAACGUGAGGUCGACGCCCUCUGGCCUGUUGGUUGGGUGUGCUCUGCUCUUGCAGGUGCAGGUACAGGUGGCUGGGCCUGAGAGGACUGAGGUCUGACUGGGAGCAUCUGGGCCCAGUGAUCCCAGUGCCUUUUUUGGCUCGUUGAUCAGUUUUCCCACAUCUCGUCCCUUUAAGCUGAAUCCUUUCUGUUUAGUAAAUAAACUGGUUAAAGUUUAUGUGCAUUUCUGGUGUUUGUCCCUUUUUGUCAGAAAAUUUUCUAAGAAACUUUACUGUCUGAGACGUUUGUGGACGACGUAAGACCAGAACUUUUACAGUGUUUUUUUUUUGUGAGGAAAGUUUUUAAGCUCUGUUCUGAAAUGUGUCGGCCUUUUUCUGUGUGUGUGUGUACGAUGUUCCUCUCAGGUUUCCAGAUGCAGGUAAAAACAUCCUGACAGGUGGUGGUGGGUGAUGAUGGGGGUGUGGUAUUGAUCAGUGACCUUCAAUGACCUUUGACGAUCUACAGUUGAUGCUCACAGAGGCGCUGAUUCUGCUUUUAGAUUCAGAUGAGUUGUUAUUUUGCUCUUGUUUGUUGUUUAUUAUUUCUUUCUACAUGUUUUGUUGAUUUAGUUGCUGUAACAGCUGAAACUCCCACAGAUUAACCAAAGCACUGUGGACCUUUGUAUGAACUUUACAGUUUCCAGCGAUGCUUCAUUUUGUAGAUGCUCUUCAUGUUUACACAGAAUUCUGGUGAUUUUCUGGAUCAGUAAAUGAUCUGUUGGGUUUGUAAGUGCAGCAGGUCGUGAGCUGGGAAUCUGGGACGGCAGCAGAUGGUUUUCCUGCUGCUUAAACACGUCGGUUUCUGUGUGAUCAAUAAAGUUGAUUUCAUAUUUUG
This is a long non-coding RNA of Toxotes jaculatrix (banded archerfish), 1653 nucleotides long. RefSeq lists it as uncharacterized. NCBI's taxonomy places the organism in Eukaryota, Metazoa, Chordata, Actinopteri, Toxotidae. The transcript has 2 exons. The record is from RefSeq and is a predicted model, not a curated record.